This 73-nucleotide transfer RNA is filed under the name Pteropus alecto (black flying fox). It matches the Rfam family "tRNA". From Rfam's summary of the family: Transfer RNA (tRNA) molecules are approximately 80 nucleotides in length. Their secondary structure includes four short double-helical elements and three loops (D, anti-codon, and T loops). Lineage: Eukaryota; Metazoa; Chordata; Mammalia; Chiroptera; Pteropodidae. The record is from Rfam by way of RNAcentral.
GGUUCUGUAGUGUAGUGGUUAGCACGUCUGCUUUACAUUCAGAAGGUCUUGGGUUCAUGCCCCAGUGGAGCCA